GCAGCCUGUGGAACCAAAUCUCUUAUCCGAUUAAAAUGAUCACUGAACACAUCAAUAUUAUAUGCUUUUGCCGCCUUAUAAAAGUGGUAGACAACACUCGCAUUGUGAAAAUUAUUUCGAAUAUUUUCUCCUAAGUGCCUCAUGCAACAACCAUAAUGAGCUAAAGGAAAUACAAUUGAAACCAUUUUUCUAAUACUUUGAUGUCUAUC
Molecule: long non-coding RNA, 209 nt
Filed under: Solanum tuberosum (potato)
Lineage: Eukaryota; Viridiplantae; Streptophyta; Magnoliopsida; Solanales; Solanaceae
Description: long non-coding RNA (STUB_LNC004875)
Source: RNAcentral